RNAcentral lists this ribosomal RNA (492 nucleotides) under uncultured bacterium. RNAcentral describes it as "partial 16S ribosomal RNA". It matches the Rfam family "Bacterial small subunit ribosomal RNA", at positions 29 to 507 of the family's 1533-position model. The record is from RNAcentral.
AGUGAACGCUGGCGGUAGGCCUAACACAUGCAAGUCGAACGGCAGCACAGUAAGAGCUUGCUCUUACGGGUGGCGAGUGGCGGACGGGUGAGGAAUACAUCGGAAUCUACUUUUUCGUGGGGGAUAACGUAGGGAAACUUACGCUAAUACCGCAUACGACCUACGGGUGAAAGCAGGGGAUCUUCGGACCUUGCGCGAUUGAAUGAGCCGAUGUCGGAUUAGCUAGUUGGCGGGGUAAAGGCCCACCAAGGCGACGAUCCGUAGCUGGUCUGAGAGGAUGAUCAGCCACACUGGAACUGGAACGCGGUCCAGACUCCUACGGGAGGCAGCAGUGGGGAAUAUUGGACAAUGGGCGCAAGCCUGAUCCAACCAUACCGCGUGGGUGAAGAAGGCCUUCGGGUUGUAAAGCCCUUUUGUUGGGAAAGAAAAGCAGCAGGUUAAUACCCCGCUGUUCUGACGGUACCCAAAGAAUAAGCACCGGCUAACUUCGUG